Trachymyrmex cornetzi is the source of this 422-nucleotide long non-coding RNA. RefSeq lists it as uncharacterized. Lineage: Eukaryota; Metazoa; Arthropoda; Insecta; Hymenoptera; Formicidae. The record is from RefSeq and is a predicted model, not a curated record. The transcript has 3 exons.
ACCUCUCACUUCUAGCACCUAACGAUAGUCCGAUAUAUUCUCAGUAUCGCACUAUAAUACGUGUGACCAUAUAAUACUAUUUAAGGUUUAACCGCAACUUCGUGCGCCAUAAGGAUAUGCAUUGCUAUAAAAGCAUUCAUCGUUUGCGACGCAUUAACAGUCUAGUGCGGGAAUUUAUUUUAUCAACUGUUAUUAUUCACUGCAGUUAGUAAAAACAUACAGGUGACUCGAAUUUCCACGGGGAAGGUACGACUAAUUCGAUAUACCUACGCAAUUUGAAGCACUUCUACGACGUUGUUCUAUGCUUUCUGAAGAAGGCUUAAAAUGAGCCGUAACGUGUAAGCACGCGAAGACUUCGAAUGUAUUAAAUUGGCUUUUUAGUUUAUUAUUAUUUUGCGCACUAAUUUCCGCGUCCGACUCCU